AUGGCAAGUCGAAGGCGGCAGCGCGGGGGCAACCCUGGCGGCGAGCGGCGAACGGGUGAGGAAACCAUCGGAACGUGCCCGAGAGUGGGGGAUAACGCCGCGAAAGCGGCGCUAAUACCGCAUAUUCUCUGAGGAGGAAAGUGGGGGACCGCAAGGCCUCACGCUCCCGGAGCGGCCGAUGUCGGAUUAGCUAGUUGGUGGGGUAAAGGCUUACCAAGGCGACGAUCCGUAGCUGGUCUGAGAGGAUGAUCAGCCACACUGGGACUGAGACACGGCCCAGACUCCUACGGGAGGCAGCAGUGGGGAAUUUUGGACAAUGGGGGCAACCCUGAUCCAGCCAUGCCGCGUGCGGGAAGAAGGCCUUCGGGUUGUAAACCGCUUUUAGUCGGGAAGAAAAGGCACGGGUUAAUACUCCGUGUUCUUGACGGUACCGGCGGAAUAAGCACCGGCUAACUACGUGCCAGCAGCCGCGGUAAUACGUAGGGUGCGAGCGUUAAUCGGAAUUACUGGGCGUAAAGCGUGCGCAGGCGGUUCGUUAAGUUCGUCGUGAAAGCCCCGGGCUCAACCUGGGAACUGCGAUGGAAACUGGCGGGCUUGAGUGUGGCAGAGGGGGGUGGAAUUCCGCGUGUAGCAGUGAAAUGCGUAGAGAUGCGGAGGAACACCGAUGGCGAAGGCAGCCCCCCUGGGCCAACACUGACGCUCAGGCACGARAGCGUGGGGAGCAAACAGGAUUAKAUACCCCUGCUAGUCCACGCCCUAAMCGAUGCUCACUAGGUGUUGGGGAAGCGAUUCCCUUGGUACCCGUAGCCUAACGCGUGAAAGUGAGCCGCCCUGGGGGAGUAACGGCCCGCAAG
Molecule: ribosomal RNA, 854 nt
Filed under: uncultured beta proteobacterium
Lineage: Bacteria; Pseudomonadati; Pseudomonadota; Betaproteobacteria
Description: bacterial SSU rRNA
Rfam family: Bacterial small subunit ribosomal RNA
Source: RNAcentral